Long non-coding RNA from Nerophis lumbriciformis (worm pipefish), 1242 nucleotides. RefSeq lists it as uncharacterized. The record is from RefSeq and is a predicted model, not a curated record. Lineage: Eukaryota; Metazoa; Chordata; Actinopteri; Syngnathiformes; Syngnathidae.
AGCUAAUCCAUUUGAGUCACCAAUUUACCCGCAAGUGGAUAUCCGUACAUGUGGAUCCGGGUCAGGGUCCAGUGGCAUGGAGUCCAAGACGACUGGAGACCCUUUUCUGCUGCAGCCUUCAUCCGCCAUCCCAGCCGUUGUGACGCUCCAACUCCACGCUCCACCGUUGAGGUCUUGGGUUGUUAUUUCCCCAUAACUGGGCCCAUAUGGAUGCGGGGGUGCCUUCUUCCGCCAUCGCAGCCGUUGUGGUAGUUCUUACAUCUACCGUCUUCCGCCUGCUCUGCCGUUGAGGUCUUCACCGUAUCCCUGGCUAGGGGGCAGUCAGGUACUAGGCCUUUGCCAAGGGCCACCUGGGGUAACAGUAGUAAAGGGGUUAACCUCCUAGUGCCCCAAGACCCCAUAGAGGAGCCUCCACUGCCGGGUGCACUUUAAUGUCAUGCCCAGGACAAAUAUGUACAAUAUACACACUGCAAGUAUAUACCUGUGUAUAUAUAAUGUAGUAGCAGACACCUUCAUAACAAUAUGUAAUAUGUACAAUAUACACACUGCAAGUAUAUACUGUAUAUAUUGUAGUAACAUACACCUUCAUAACAAUAUGUGAUAUGUACAAUGUACACACUGCAAGUAUAUAUAUAAUGUAGUAACAGACACCUUCAUAACAAUAUGUAAUAUGUACAAUAUACACACUUCAUGUUACGGUGCGUGCGCAUACUAUCAUUCCCUCCGCUGCUGGAGCAGCAAGAAGGUUCGCUGAGAGCGCAGCCAGACACGCUCCUGCGCGCCCCGCUCAGACCGCGCUUGCACGGCUGCAGGAAAUCUGCAUUCCGCGCACCUGGAUCUGUUGAGGCUCAACAGUAUAAAGCCCAACGCAGCCGAAUACCCAGCGCCAGAACGUAGUUCUCUGUUUACAAAUCCUCUGUCGCCUUAGAAGUGAGCUGUGCGCCUCACUUCUCUGGACCUCCCUCUAGACUCUGACUGCCUCCCUCGAUCCUCGACUUCCUUCGCUUUGGACCCGGACCUCAGGACGCCUCGCUCCAGCCCCCACGGACCUCCUGCUUGGAUCACAGACCUCUUUCUGCUGAGCCCCUUUGGACUUGUUUGCCUCUCCAAACAACAUACACUUACAACAAACUCCUGGUAAUACAAUCUUGUUAAUUCACGCACAUAAUCUUGCAUGCACACACUUAGUAGCAUACACACCCCACUCACUCAUCAUGGCUCAAUAAACCCUGUUGAGCGAUA